Molecule: ribosomal RNA, 252 nt
Filed under: uncultured bacterium
Lineage: Bacteria
Description: partial 16S ribosomal RNA
Rfam family: Bacterial small subunit ribosomal RNA
Source: RNAcentral
UACAGAGGCCUCGAGCGUUAGGCGGAAUCACUGGGCUUAAAGCGUGUGUAGGCGGACUUCUAAGUACCUUGUGAAAUCCCACGGCUUACCCGUGGAACUGCUGGGUAUACUGGUUGUCUUGAGCCAUCUAGGGGCUACCGGAACAAAUGGUGGAGCGGUGAAAUGCGUAGAUAUCAUUUGGAACGCCAAUGGUGAAAACAGGUAGCUGGGGAUGUGCUGACGCUGAGACACGAAAGCCAGGGGAGCGAACGG